UACGGAGGGUGCAAGCGUUGUCCGGAAUCAUUGGGCGUAAAGAGUUCGUAGGUGGCAUAUUAAGUCUGGUGUUAAAGGCAGAAGCUCAACUUCUGUUCGGCACUGGAUACUGGUAAGCUUGAAUGCGGUAGAGGUAAAGGGAAUUCCUGGUGUAGCGGUGAAAUGCGUAGAUAUCAGGAGGAACAUCGGUGGCGUAAGCGCUUUACUGGGCCGUAAUUGACACUGAGGAACGAAAGCCGGGGUAGCAAAUGGG
Molecule: ribosomal RNA, 253 nt
Filed under: uncultured bacterium
Lineage: Bacteria
Description: partial 16S ribosomal RNA
Rfam family: Bacterial small subunit ribosomal RNA
Source: RNAcentral